RNAcentral lists this small nuclear RNA (229 nucleotides) under Sorex araneus (European shrew). Its description in RNAcentral is "7SK RNA (ENSSARG00000019166.1)". It matches the Rfam family "7SK RNA". From Rfam's summary of the family: 7SK was discovered as an abundant small nuclear RNA in the mid-70s but a possible function has only recently been suggested. The record is from RNAcentral. Lineage: Eukaryota; Metazoa; Chordata; Mammalia; Eulipotyphla; Soricidae.
GUGAGGGCCUUCUGGUGCAAAGUCUGCCACACCACUGAUUGCCGGGGUUGACUAGGCUGAUGCAUCUGGCUCAUGGGGGAUGGGGUGUAUUCCCUUCAUCCCUCACUCUCUCUGUGUCCCUCCUAAAGCUGCAUGCCUUGCUCUUAGAGAGAUCCUGGUAGUUGUUCAGCUUCACCUUAUAGAACUUCAAAAAAAGCAUUCAAGAGCAAUGUGCCACGUGGGGCGCUUU